Molecule: ribosomal RNA, 253 nt
Filed under: uncultured bacterium
Lineage: Bacteria
Description: partial 16S ribosomal RNA
Rfam family: Bacterial small subunit ribosomal RNA
Source: RNAcentral
UACAGAGGGUGCAAGCGUUAAUCGGAAUUACUGGGCGUAAAGCGUGCGUAGGUGGUUUGUUAAGUCUGAUGUGAAAGCCCUGGGCUCAACCUGGGAAUUGCAUUGGAUACUGGCAGGCUAGAGUGCGGUAGAGGGUAGUGGAAUUCCCGGUGUAGCAGUGAAAUGCGUAGAGAUCGGGAGGAACAUCUGUGGCGAAGGCGACUACCUGGACCAGCACUGACACUGAGGCACGAAAGCGUGGGGAGCAAACAGG